UGUUGAUCCUCCAGUAAAGCAGCGUAAUCCACUCCUUUCCUAGCCUUGUCCCUGUCCAGGGUCUCCUCAUGUCCUCCCUUGUCUCUGGAUCAUCUCUGUGCCCAGUGGCAAGUCCUGGUCCACUGCUCUCCACCACAGUUUGAUGGGACAGAGAUACAGCCUCUCCCAGGGGGAAGGGAAAAACACUUUGAAAUCAAGCAGGCCAAUAGUAGUAAAAGUUUAAAAAUUAACAUCAUGCUUUUAUUGGUGCCCUUGAUUAAUUGAAGGGAACUGCUAUAUAACUCAGAGCCAGAAAUACAUUUUUAAAGUUGACUCAUUUGAGUUUGAGUGAAAGGUACUGGCUCCAGCCAGAAAAUCUGUGUUAGUGCAGAAGAGUUAUUUGACUUUUUUCUGGCUUUAACACCACUACAAAAAUCUUUUUGCCAAAGGAAUGGACAAACUUCUUUUCAUCUGAGUGGAAAUCAGCUAGAAAGCUCAGUUUCAUCAGAGCUUUAGCUAGACUGGGGAUUCCUAUGGUUUAGACACUUUAAAGCAAACUGCCUGCUAUGGUUUGACCUGUUUUGCAGCUGUACGCAGCUGACAGCCCACCAAGCCAAUAUAUGCAAACUAUUUGCGAGGCUUUGACAAUGUAGCGGUCGGCAGCUCUUAUUCUGCUGACUUCCAAAUGACUUAAGAGUGUUUGCAGUUUGCUUUGAAAUUUAAGCAGAGAGGAGCUCUUAGUGACACUGCCGAUCGAAGGGCUUUUCUCAGGAGGGAAUACUCCGUACUCCAGUGGCUUUUAACUGUCAGUGAAUCAAAUGAUACAGACUGGCUAUUUUUCACGUCUUGUGUUGUGCUGAUCUUCUAAUUUAAUGUAAAUGCAUUAUUGGAGGACUGAAUUGCACUUGCAUAGGUUUUAAUAAGAUCGGAACAAAAAACACUGAAAUAUUUUACUCUUAAGCAAUUUAAAUUCAAUUUACAGUUGCUGUUUAUUUUCACAUACUUGGUUGUUGCUUUAAGAACUUUUUUUUUUUUUUCCCCCGCACUGCUUGCAUAACUGACAUCUAUUGCAGUAUUAAAUUGACGCUCUUACUGUGCUCUGGAAUUUGUUUUGUUGGAUCUCUACCAGUUAGAAAAUGUACCCAAUUGAAAGGACAGUCUAGGAAGCAAGAAAGCCUUUCCGCAAGCAGCAGCUGUCCCUGCUGUUGAUGUAACUAGAAAAUAUGAUUUGAAAGGGUACUCACUUUCCUUUCCACGGGAGCAUUGUUGAUACCUGCCACAGGCUCCGGCUUUCAUACUGCAGACCUGAGGUUUUGGUCUCACAAAUUCCUGUGUUGUGUUGCCACAUCACAAUUCCAGUGUAAAUAGUGUUACUUUGUUGUGAUACACCCACAUCUGUGCAUCUCAUACACUCACUUGCAAAGGCACCUCUGCAGCACCGAAAGGAAGAUUACUUCUGUAGCUUCUGAAGUACUGCGUCUAGUAAAAGGGAGAAGAGCUAAGGCCUUCCAACCGAAGAGCAAAAAUGGUCCUCAGGGACUGGAGGGCAGAGGGAAGUGUUGGGAUACGAAACCUCAUUACAGCUGUGAAUUGUUUAUUGGGUUUGUGUUAAAAUCCUGCACUGCCUUAGAAUUCAUUCAGAGAAAGCAAAGCUCCUAUAUUACCCACAGGUAAAUUAAUCGUGUGUAAUACUCCACCAGCACAGAAUGACCUUAUGCAAAUGACAGUACAGCAAUGAAGAGAGUUUCAAAAGCUGGUUACCUGCCUGUACAAACUCGCAUGCCUGGUUAUACUUUCAACCAGACAGAUGUCCUACACACUUCUUUAUUGUGAAUAUUUACUACACAUAAGCAGCAUACCAUCUGGAUUACAUAACAUAUUUCUUAAGUAUGGAAGCUUCUGCUACUGGAAGAAUCUGUGAUAAUCACAUCAUUUGCUAAUUUAUACCUCAAAAAUUGUAGAAACAUUAUUUAGGUCCCACGGCAGAACUUGGGAAUAGGAAAACAAGCUCCCCAUUAAAAAGGCUGGGUAAUUCAGAACAAAAAAAUGUUUUAAAUUAAGCAGUGGGAUAGCUGCUUAGCUGCUGCAAUUCCUACCCUCAAAUUACAUUGACACUCUAUAGCUCUCUACAGAGUGUCUUAGCAGAUUACUACAUAUAACAAUAUAUAAACAAAACUGCCAAAUAUAAAAUAGGAGAAUAAUCUUUCUUCAUCUGAGAUCACAACUAGAACAGCAUCAUUAGUGGAGAGAACAGAACAUUGCCAAAGCGUGCAUCUCUUCAUUUAUUUUAGCAAGCAAGCUAAAAACGACUUUUGGUGUGGCAGACUCACUCUCUCUAAACCGGACGAAGGCUGGAUAUUCAGUCAGGCAAGGUGCAUAGCUGGUAGGCAUCUACUGCCUUGUGACAGCAACCUUUCCCUGACAAUCAAGGAAUGAGUCAGGGCUAUUUCACUUAUCUUCAAAUCAGAGUUAUCUGUGGGCAUAAUUCAUUCUUGCAAACACCUUUUUGAAAUCAUGUCCUAAAAAGAAGCUGAAUAAAUGCAAUAGAUGUGUUGUUGAGAUAGCUUCCCCUAUUAUAAUAUGAUAUUACAGAUAAAAAUGGUCUGAAAUUUUGAAUCUGCCUCAAUAAAACCAUGUUAAAAGUAGGAGUUCCCACUAAAAUGCUGUCAGACCCUUAAUACAACAACAUUGGCAGAAAAUGCAAAAACUGAAGUAAAUUAUUUUUUCCCAACUAGAAAUCAGGAAAGUUGAAAGAGAAGAAAGGACAAAAAAAAAAAGGAAGUUACCUUGAGAUCCCUGCUGUACAGACUGGUUUUGAAAUUGAGCAUAUGGUUUAUUUGGUAUUCCAGGAAACUGCUGCCCAUUUGGUGAUUGGCUGUGCGAUGAUGGAGAGCUGUGUUUCUGCAGGAGGGAAGGUGGAACUAAUGCUUUCAGGGGGCUGACAAGUGGAGAGAUUAUGUUGGGAGCCAGCCUAGAAAAAGAAAAUUCAGAAAAAUUUCACCUAUCAAAUAAGGGAAAAUGAAAUACUUGAAAGGUCCUACAUACAUGACGGCAAGACUACAAAAACAUUUAUUUUGCAGCUAUAAAUUAUGCUGUAAAAGAAAGAUAACAAUGCAUUGCUGCUUUCAAGUCUUCAUUAGCAUGGAAGGCAGUUAGAAAACGAUUUAUGUUUCUUUACACUGACCUCCUGUACUAAUCCUAAUGACGGAAUCAAAAUGACAUCACUCCUCAGAAAGCAACUCAGACACGGGUCAGUUUUAAUUGAAAAUUUUGUAAGCUGAGAAACAUGUCCAGAAACAGAAGUGGAGAAUAAGUCAGAAUAAGUAAAAGCGUGUAAAUUGUUCAAGUGCCUCAGUAGUUGUAGUGGGUAAAACUUUCUACCCGGGUUUCAGCCAAGACAAAGAAAAGCAUUAGUUUUCAAUUAUUCCUCAUACAGUAUUUUUUAGGCUUCACUGCAAGAAAUACAGAAUUCACUGCAAAAGCUGGCACUGUCCUUUCAAAGAAAAGGCCUGAAUAAGGGUUUGCUUGUGGCAACACCUCUCCAACCCUGGAAAAUUGGGCAGGGUGGAGCCUAAGAGAUGGAAAAUUCCCCACGGACAGCUGGGAGUCAGGCCAGCCCAGAAGCACUGGGACAGCGCCACUCGGGGGACAGACCCUGACCCUGCAUCCCCAAAGCACGCUGGAGCAGCUGAAGAAGAGCCUCACUGGCCCGCUGCCGUGAAACCCCUGGGCACUCCUCCACCACUGGUAGAAAAGUGUUAAUGCUUCCCCUGGCCGUGGAGUGCCCCCAGCCCACCAAGGCAGGUACAGCAGCUGGCCCACAUGGCAUGAACCAUUUCCCAGAGAACUCUUCUGGCCGUUCACAGACAGGAAGAUGAUGUGGUGCAGAAGAUGUGACCAAAAACCUGGUCACUCAGCCUCUUUUAUAGCUGCAUUAAAUUAACACUGUAAAUGAGUAACUUGUUUUAAACUGGACCUUUUCGCCUCCUACUACAGCUGUGACAAAUAGCUUUCUGCUAAAUAGCCCAAGGUUACACUUUCAAAUGUGAGGUCUGCUUGGAGCAAGCUUUCAGCAUAUUCAAAUUUAACGUGUAGGCAGAGGAACACUGCCAAAAGCUGUCACAGUGGCAUAGUGUCACAGUGACGCUUAUUAACAGGGGUUUUAAUAAAUCAACUGGUCAAAGACAAUCCUAUGAUGAAAUAAGUCCACCACCCCAAUACACAAAAAUAAGGCACGUGAUACAGACUGCAGAGAGUUCAAAUUUCCCCAAACUAAACUGAAGAAAUAAGCAAGUAUUGUUAAAUAGAUGAAGACAAGGACAUUUUCAAGCCAAAUAUCUAAGAACUGGAUAACAAACCUUCUGUGAGAAACAUAACUCCUCAUAAGCACAGGCCUGCAACAUGUAUAGAUAACUGAAGCAGAAUUAUAAAGCCAAUAUGCAAAUAAAAAAAACUUAUUAGUCUGUGGGCUUUUUUUGUUCACUCGUUUUUGUUUCAGGUACAUAUUAAAAAGAGCUCUGCAACAAAAACUAAGAAGAGCUGGGGCUGCAGACACAGCAGGAACGGGGAGUGGGGCUGCAGCAGGGUGGGCAGUGCAGGGCCAGCAGUGCCCUCAUUGGGUCCCAGGCUGAAAGCGCUCUCUAGAGACAGCUCUGCUGAGGACCAGAUGCCCUGGGGUAAACACCAAGUUUGUCUGCAGCUGAACGCAAAGGUCAGCUCCCAUGUGGCCAUUGUUUUUCCCCAAAUGUCGCAGUGGAGAAACAGUUAAACGAAACUAUCUGUUGUGCUGCCCAGCUACAUGCUGGAUCUUCCACUAAUUCUCUCAAACAUGUGUCAAUGGUGAGGACUGCAUGCAGAUGGGGCUGCCUUUAUCUGCUGGAACCUGCAGAAAAGCUUUGCUACAGUCUCAUCCGAUGCUGCCAGGGAGUGCUGGCAAAGCAUGACCACAAGUGACAGAACGGUCACCAGCCCAUUCAAAUGGCACAUGGAGACAUCGCACUCGACAUGCCAGAAAUGCUAGCAGAAGCCAGGAAAUACUUCUAUCUGAAAGGAGAUUAAAAAGAUUGCAGUUGUUUUCUUUGGAAGGAUAACAGCUAAAAGAGAUCACGAUAGUGACAUUUAUAUGGAUAAUGACCACACACACAUUGUAAAGAGAAACAAAAGAUGUACUGAAGACUCCACGGCUGGAUGAGCCAGAAACCGCUCUGAAUGAGGGAGGAAAAUACUUUUGGUGAGCAAGCACUCCGUGACUGCCUGCGUUGGGUUUCCUGCGCCUGCUCUGGGAAUGCCUUUUGCUGGCCACUGCUGGAGAUGCAGCCCCAUGCGGGCCUGCCCAGCUGCUCUGUGUUGAAGGCUCUGUUCACACUAUGGGGAAAUUGCAUUUUUAAAUUCUGUGCAAAUGUUGCACAGCAAAAAUGGUACAUUUAAGUCGUCUGGCUGUGGGAAGUCUGAAAUCCCCAGCUUCCCUGUUUCAUUCUUCCUAAAGGUUAUUUAAAUCUUAACCUGCGAGAUGAAUUCAAUGGCUAUUGUGAUUAUGUUUUAAAGCAGUGCUUGUCCCCUCUCAUUCUUUCGCAUUCUUGUUUUUCCUGUGUGUGAGCUCAAUGCUUUGCCAGGAUUUGUGCCUCAAAGCCUUUGCAAUGGCUUGCUGGGAGCAGGAGGGAGGCAGCAGGGUGAGGAGGUGUGGGGCUCCGCUCCAGCCAGGCGAACCGGGCUGCCAGCUCCCUGCUUCCACUUGCUUUGCCGGCACGGUGCUAGGGCUCAGCAAACAUUGCUGCCUGCAGGCAGCCAGUAUCCUAGUAACAUGUAGUGCAGCAACUUGGGCUGAAACCCUGAGAGCUCUGCGUAAUGCUCAGCUCUCUGCCUUCUCUGUGUGAAGAGUUUCAUGCGGUUUGAGCAGGUAACCAUGAAAUCUACAGCUUUCUCUUCAAUAUCUCCCAAGUAGGGAAUUUCAUGUUUUCCAUAAGUUAGGGCUCAGUUUUUAGCUAGGAAAGAGCAUUGCUCAGCAGAAAAAUCAGUCUGUAUUAGCGUAAGUGGCCAAUAUGGGAAUUGGCUUUCUUAAAAUAGCCAUCAUAAUGCCAACAGCUCAAGCUGGCCCCUAAAAUAUUGUUCUCUGUGUGCACAUGUACUCUGGCAGACUCAAGGAGAGUUUUUCAUCAACUAACUGUCCAGCCACCAGUGCCCUGUCUUUAAUUCUGUCCCAAACGUUUGUAUACUAAUCAUGUUGCUGUGAUACUCAGGUUGUUAAAGGAUAGGCAAAAUCAUUCCUGAUACAAAUUAAAUAGCUUAAAAGGAGAUGUCUUUUGUAUGGAAGGGGAAACACUGAACUAUUUAAGCCAGAAGCUCAGCUGGAUACAUUAAAAAUUCCAAGGCAGUAGCUCAGGCAUAUGUUUCAGUAACUAACAGCCUGUACAUUUCCUGUUAAUGCUGUACUACAACCACAGUUUGCUUUGGUUUGUAUAUUAAUAACAAAUAUAUGCCAUAUAUUUUAUUUUAAUUGUAACUUGCAUAACUCAAUAAAUCUGCAGGUACUUUUGGGGCCUUUUAAUAUAUAUCUGUGCCUAUAUAUAGUUAUAUUGGCAGGUUAUAGAUAAAUACUCACACAUACAUGAAAAAAAAUCCUUCCUUAAUUCAUUAAAUUUAAGGGCUCCUAACUAUCCUGAAUCCUUCUGUCUGAUAAGGUACAUCUUUUCCCUAUCUUGCUAACACUACUGACAAAGCUAAGAAAGAAGAACAGUUCUUACAGCUUGCUUACACUGCUGAUCUAGUUGGACCGUCAAUACAUUCCACCUUUUUAUACGGAUACUUGACGAUAAAAUACUUUCAUUAUCUGACGUACAAAUCAAAAUACUGCAAGACUUUUAUUAUUCCACUAUGACCUUUAUGAGAAAGGUAACAACUUAAUCAUGCUCUUACCUUAUUCAUAUCCAUUUCCCAGUAUAGACACUAAUGAAGUUCCUAGCUGGAUUUCCUCUCUGAAUCCAGCAGAUUUUCAGUUGCCUACUGAUUGAAUUGCCUUUGCUAAAAAACGUUCCCGGAUGUGAUACAUGGUACAAAUAGGAAAGUCUUUUCAUCUCAAGACUUCUGGUGACUUUGGACCUAAUGAUAGUAGGUGCUACUAUCUGUGUGUCUCUUACGAACAGCUUGUGAAUUCACAGGAAUCUGUAGGCUGGAAAUCUCUGCUGUAUUUGUGGUGCUCUCUGGGUGUAUUUCUGUAUGGCAGUCAGCACUGUGAUGCAGCGCCCAGAAAUCUUCCUAGCCUGGAAGUAGCACUUGUGAUGAAUACAUGUCUCAAGCCUUGUUUUGUAUGUCAAAUACCCUAACUGGAGGAUACACUGUCCAAACCCUGGAAGCAUUUGCCUCCUUACCUCCCAUUCUCCUGUAACUUCUCUGGGUCCCCAUGGUAACAAAACUGCAUCUUCAGUACUUCAUGCAUCACAAACAUGCUGCUUAACAAUUACAAAUGACUGGUAACAGCACGGCCCAAGUGGCUCAUGUUGCAUGCUGCUGGGAUUGGUCUGAAGGGAGGUGCUAAGGAGAAUGUUUACUCAUGAUCUGGAUAAAGCAAGGGAGAACUGGUGACUGUUCACUGAAAAUACUUCAGUUUCCUGACAAGCUACUCAGGUGCUUGCAGUAAACUUAAAACAGAUCUGAAUAUACUCAGAAUGUGGACAGCAGGAUGCAAAAUGAAACCAAAUUUGGAGAAAUUAGAGGUAUUAUGUAUCAACACUGAAUACAGAGCUACUUUCAGUUCUGAUGCAUUUAAUCACUGUAAGAGUUAAAAGCAGCUGAAGAUAUACUAGAAUAGUAAGAGAGAGGUUUCACCAAGUAAAAUUGGCCAAACUAUAAUUGUGGCACUGAAAGAAGAGAACCUGAAACACAGUUUUUCAGAAUGCAGUGGCACAGCAGAGGAGCCAGCCUCCUCUCCAGCCUGCUGAAGACACAGGAGCGACAGAGCAUUCACCACUGGGAGAGGCAGGUCAGUUUCAAACAAAAGGAACAUUUUGCUCACGCAGCACGCUCUGGCCUGUGGCACUCAUAGCCACAGGAAGUCACAGAAUCAAACAGUCGAGAUAAGUUUUUUAAAAACAGGGUGAAUAAUUUGAUGGCCAAAACCAACAUUUCCAUGCUAAGCAAGGGGUAAUCAAAUUGCGUGCUUCAGGAUGUAAACUGAUCGCCCAAGAAAUCAGAGAGGAAUCCUCACUCUUCACUCAUCAUACAACUUCACAUGAUUGACCAGGUAUUGUGGGUUUUUUCAGAUUCCCUUUGAAGCACCACGUGUAGGAUGGCGCUGAAGACAUAAUACUAGUCUUGAGGGACCUAUGAUUUCAGAUGGAAUUGCAAGUCUAGUGCAUUCCUCUCCUGAGGAUGCAUCAGUAGACAAUUAAGUAAAAGGACUAGUCAGAACAAUCUUGUUUUUUUAAUACCAUCAUCCACAGAACUGACAGAAUAGUACUGGAAGAACUGAUCCUAAGUUGAUAACAUACCUUGUCUGUGAUGCCACAAACACUUCUGUAGUGUGUUACACAUUAUCUUAAAUUACUCGGUUUCAUAGCCCUUCAGAUAAGCUCUUGAAGUCUGAUGAGAUACUAUCCAUGAGGAGUCACUAACACAAAUGGUAGACACAGACCACGAGCCACUUCCUCACCUCUACUGCAAAGUAUUUGCCACUCACAGCAGUGGAAACACAGAAAUCUGAAUCUUAACAGACGGAUUUUGUUAAAUUAAAAGCCAAAACAUACAAGAUAUUAAUCUGAGUCCGCUCAUUUUAAAAAGCGCAGAUCUUUAAGAAUCUCAAACAGAAGUCUCAGUAAGACUUAAAUUUUCUUUUGAUUGUUUUAACGUUACCUAUUUUUAUUAUAAAUGUUAAGAUUAAAUUAUACCAAAGACGUAUGUGAAGGAACUAUGUAGGUGCUGCGAGUUAGCAGCAAUCUAUACCAAAGACACUUCCUAGGCUACAACUACUGUUAACUUGCUUUAGGUUCACUUAUCCUGCCUCCAGUUUUAGUUUCUCCUAGUAGACCGUGGUGCAUAAAAAAUCGUGCAUUUUCACAAUGCAUACAAAAUGCCAUGUUCCGAUAAUCUUGAAAAAUAAGGAACCCACAAUAAAUGCAUAUGGACAUUGAUUUUUCUGACCUUUCUGUCAAGAUGGUAAUGUAUGUUUUCUAUAUUCAUCCACAGUACUUAGUCUGAGUAAGAAACAGUUUUAUAUUUCACUUUUCCCAGUCUGUUCAGUAACUGUUCCUGAACAAAUGAACAGAGUAAGAAAUUGUAAAGCCAGAUUGAGAGCUGUUUAAAGAGUUCUUUCAUCAUCUGGUUCAUCGUGUCUUAACUGCCAAAACCCACACACAGUAUGUUUAAGCAGAAAAUGCUUGAAUUGAAAAUUGAAAAAUAAUGAAAAUAAUUCAAACUAAGAUUCUUGAAUAAAAACUGAGAAAGAAGUGUAGCCACAAAAUGGAAAUAUCUGAGAUCAGGAUGUUACCAAUAUGAAAACUGUCUGUUUUUUGUUUUUUUUUUUAUGAUGUGAUGGCUUGAUUGGCAGAUUCCUAAGCAAGACAAAGAACUUCAACCCAUAUCCCAUUGACUUCAGCGAAAGGACCAAAUCCAGUCUGAAAAACAUCUGUCCUUUAUCUCAAAUAACUUUUAAUAUAUUCUGGGGUUUAAGACCAUACUGUAACACAGCUCUCAUGUAUACCAUAUUGACACAUCCCACUAUCUAGAAUUUUAGACUUUUUAAAAACUCGUAUUAGUAGGAAGAAAAAUAUAUAAUAAAGCAACAACAUGAAAAGCACUAAGCAAAGAAGCUCUAUGUUUUGGCAUAAGUUACCUACAGAGUACUGCAGCUAAUUACAAAAUCUGAGAUGUUUCCAUGGAACCAGGUUCUGCCAUAAAAUCCAGCAUGCUAACCAUUUCAUUCAUAAUUCUCUCCCCAAGCAUUACAGUCACUUAUAUUGUGAGAAAGUCCAAUUGAGUUCCAGGACCAGGAAAUUAUUUUUUCAAAUGGAAGAAAAAAAAAAAAAGUUAACACUGAUUUUCAUCUCUUCCCAUAAUAUUAAAAAUGAUGUGUAAAGCUCUGCUAAUCUGGUCUCUGGAUAGCGCCCAAUCUCUUGCCACGUGUUUCUGUUCUGGGUCUUGCCCUACGGGAAUUUCUGUCAGCACAUGCUCAGGAAACAGUUACACCGUUCACUUGUUUUUUUCUUUUUCCCUUUUUUUUUUUUUUUUUUUUUUUAAGACGGACUCUAUCUGAAGUUUGGUGAACCUUUGCACUAAUCACUGCCAGGUGCCUCUGGCUACGUUUCUGGAAUGCAAGGAAUCUUUUCUUUCUCUUUCUUUCUUCCUUUCUCCUCUUCCCCUCUCUCCCUGAUAUAUAAUAAAUCCUUCAUUGAAAAGCACCUUGCUGGGCAUCACUGCAUUUUAUUACCCUCUUCUAUAAACAGUGCGCAAACAAGUUGUUAGCCUGUAUGAUACUCAGUCUCUGCUCUAUGACUGCAAGAUAGGACACCGUGAUCCUGUUUUCUGUUUUCUUGCUGUAGCCAGCUUGACCCAAUGCCUGCUGUUGGGAGGCUUGGCUCUGCUGCUAACAUGGCAUGUGUACCUCCAGGUACAACAUCUUAAAGUAGGACUAAGGAAAUGUCAGCCCUUUCCUAGCUUCUACAUAAGUAUGAACUGCCACGAAUGCUGCUCCAAAAGUUAUGCCUCCUGUUUUAUUAUAGGAUCAUAGAAUCAAUGGAUUACUUUAAUCCAGUUCUGCAUCUUCACUCAUCACUCUCCCUAGGCAGUGUCAACAAGUGAGUAUGUGAGCGCACUCAGAGUAAGAGGGGUUUCACAAACAUUAUGGGGAACACUAUCCAAAGGCGCUUUUAACAUGAUUUAAGAUUCUUAAGUCAUUUAGUUGCUUUAAAAUAAUAAUACCAGUCAACAGUGAUAUGAAAACAGCUUCAGGAUGAAAAUUAUAGAGAACCCAAAGGUUCUCUUUGGGUACCUUUCCUGGUACUCUCAAAGGCCUUCUCUUUGGGUCCAGAGUGGCUUACUAAAACACUUGCAAUCUUUCUAACAAAUAUGUGCACAAGUCUCACAGUUGGGGGUACAACAUAACUCAGUAUUUUGUAACCCACUUCACUAUCUACACAAAGAGACACACAUCUACGCAGACAAGGACUUUUCUAUGUUAAAUUAAUAUCUCUACAAUUGCUCUCACCUGAUAUGCAAGUUCUGCAGAGCAGUUAAGCCUUGGUGAUUUCUACUGGAACUAUGCCAAUCUAAAAGACGUUUUUAUUUAUAAGCAUUCAUUUGGUCAUUUUCCUUGAAAGAAAAUUGACAAAUCAAUUCAGUGGAAGCCACUACACCUAAUGGAAAUUUGAAAUCUUAUUCUAACAAUCUAGCAGGAAAAUAUAUUACUGAAGUAAUGCAAAUUAGCAUGCUUUAAGUAAUAUCACAACAUAUUUAGAUUAAAAGCACAGCCUUAGGUUCAAAUGAUUGCCAGGAAGUAAAUUAGAAAGACAUGCAAUCAAACACAGAUAUCAACAUGUACUGCAUGCUUGACUUCUCUGUCUUAUUUUAGUCAUUUAAAGUCAUUAUUCUUUGGCAAGUAUGCAGCAAGACGCUUCCAGGUGUACACAGAUUCUUUACAGGUUGCUGAUGCUGCUUUCUUCAAGUUUACAGUGUAAAAGGCACUAUACUGAACAGUGGGAGAUGUUAAGAUAAUGACUUGUUACACCAUGACAAAUUGUUGUGUUUGGUGUAUGUAACUUACACCUAACUGGAGAAGUUUUGCUUAAAAAACCAAAAGGAAAAAGAAAAAAUCAGCUUUACAGGUGUUAGGCAUAUGAUUUACCUACAGAUAAAAAAACAGUAAUAGCUAGAAUCAUUAAUACAGAUGAGCUGGGUUAAAUCAAUUCUAGAUGAUUUACUCUGACAAAUUCAUUUAAACUCCCUCCUACUCUAGUGGCUGUCUCUAAUCUUACAUUAAGAUAGUUCUGCUCAGAGGGUCUCUUCUGGGCAGUCAUCAAGGGGGAGAUCUUAUCAACAUUCAUACAUAUGUGAAGGGAGAGGGCAAAGAGAACAGAGCCAGGCUCCUGUCAGUGGUGCCCAGUGCCAGGCAAGAGGCAUUGGGCUCAAAGUGGGACACAGGAGGUUCCACCUGAACACCAGGAAGCAUGUCAGUGCUCUGCAGGUAUGGAGCUCUGGCACAGACUGCCCAGAGAUGUUGUGGGGCCUUGCAAAGCUGCCUGGGUGGGGCCUGGGCAUCCUGCUCUGGGUGUCCUGCUCAAGCAGGGGUUGGACCAGAUAGACUGAGAGGUCUCUGUCAGCCUCAGCCAUUCUGUGACUCUGUGAUCAUAGUUAGCGCUCACUUUUGGGGUAAGGCUCUCUAAUGUAUGUCACUCCAGCCCCAUUAGAAACAAAAAUGAAAUACAUGUCAUCAAUUUCUGUGGAUGGCCAAAUGAUAUUUUACCCCAUGAUCAAGCCCUAAGUUAUUGUUGUACUGCUGAAGUCAGUCUAUUCUAAUGCUAAUUUUGCUUUAAGGGGGAAAAAACUAUACAAGUCUAUCUGGACAUGAUUAUAAAUGAAUUCUGAUCACAUUUUCUACAAUGAGAUAAAUGACUUGGGAUUUGAAACCAGAUGCUUUUAAUUACUGAUUUUCUUUGUUACAUGAACCUCAGCUCCGCACCUGUACAUUGUUCUUUCUUCGGACAGAUGUACUGAUGCCCCUUUUGCGUGCUCAGGUCCAUAACACUGAGAUAAAUUAUGAUGGGUUCUUGGCUUCCUCCAUUGAAAAUGUUUUCAGCUGUCAGAGAUAUCUGUUUCUUGUUAUUGGUUUUAGUGCUUUUGAAAGAAAGUCUGAAACACUGACUUGUGUAUUCUAUUAUAAGUGAAGAAUAUUCUCCAGAGGAAUCCACAAUGAAUGAAUGAUGCAUCUCAUUGGUACUAGGAACUGUUAUAAAAACUGUGUAGGUAUUCAGUUCUCCUGAGUACUUCUAGAGUAAGAGUUUGUUUCACACAAAGAUUCAAGCAAUACACCAAAUCCUCCUCACUUUAAGUAUAUGAGCUCACAAACUUGAAAUUCAGCCAUAAGUAGUGAAGACAUGCAAUCACCACUGAAGGUAAUGAGAAUUAGGUACACGUGUAUUUUCAGGUCUGGCCAUGAAUUCUGGCAGAUCAAGGAACUUACGUAGCCUAUUGAAAGGAGCCUUUUACUGGUUUGGAGCAAUUCCUUAAAUCUCAUAUCAGAUACAGUCAUCGGCAGAAGAUGAGCUGCUUGCAGACAACAGUGAAACUCAUAGCCACAAUUUGAGUCCCAUCUCUUCUAACGAGAAAUCACUCACAAGACCCCUUGUAUGCCUGCCAGCAAAGCUGGAGCUGAACACAGGGCCAAAGAGCAGAGGUUGGGGUGGCUGGAGGAGAUUUUGUCUUGCAUACUUUUUUCAACCUUGAAAAUAUGAGGAAUUCUGAAUCUGGUGUUCCCUUGUUGAGCAAAAAGGGAGGCUCUGUGUACCUUGUUUUACUUUAAGUAAAGGGAAAUUAAGGGCUAAACCUUUAACAGAGAUCUCUUUACAGUGAAGUAUUUCUGUGGUAUUUGAAUUAACAGGUGCUAACAAGCAAGCAAACAAAAAUUCUGAUGUUUAAGUAGCCUGAUUAAAACGUGUCUUUUCA
Long non-coding RNA from Gallus gallus (chicken), 13626 nucleotides. RefSeq lists it as uncharacterized. The record is from RefSeq and is a predicted model, not a curated record. Lineage: Eukaryota; Metazoa; Chordata; Aves; Galliformes; Phasianidae. The transcript is spliced from 2 exons.